UAAGUGCGGCACUCGAUACCUCUGGUAUACCUAUUCAUUACUUGUGCGCGGACGGUGCACGCCUAAUAAUUUUUCCAUUCGCACGCAUCUAGGUCGAAUUCCCCCGCCCGAUCCUCCCAUUCGCGAAGCCAGGACCGGACGCCCCCCUUCUCCUCUCUCGGUUUUCUUGCGUGAAGCCCAGGCCGAGCCCCUCUCCCUUCUCCGGCCUACUCUCUCUCUACCGUCGAUUUCGCCCCAAGGAAGCCAGCCGAUCUCCACUGCAGCAGCAGUCGCUCGCUGAUUUGACCUAGCCGCUGGUCAUUUUUGCUAUAGGCAAAAAAUGAGGAGAGAUUAUUACGUGCAGAGUGGUCACAAUUUUUUUGUUCGGAUGCCAAUCAUGUGAAUUUUCUCCCUCUUGUACAUAUCCUACAUACAAAAGAGAACAAAAUCUACGUGUUCGCGUGAUUGGCGUCUCCGCACUCCGCAUCUAAUAAUUUUUCCAUCGUGAGAGGGAAAAAUUGUUAAAAAUUUUAUUUGGAAAAUAAUCCCAAUGAUCUAUGAAUCAUAAUUAAGGGUAUCUUAAUUUAGCACUUUUGUUGUAGUUUUCUGUUUUUGGCUUCUCCUUUCUAGCAGGACUACAAGCAUUCUCUCUUUUUUGAGCCUUGAUAGCUGCCAGUUAUUGUAUAGCUCCUAUUUUCUAUAAAAGUAGUAAAAUAAUUGGUGUUUUUCUUUCCUUAGACGUUACUGCAGAACCUAGAUGUUUUUAAGAUAAUAGCAGCGUCGUAACAUAGUAGUCUUCUGAAGACAUCAGAAGGUAACAUCAAUGACUAUUCAGCAAAAUUCAGGGCUCUCAAGGUAGUCUCCGGUUUUAUGAAAAGUAAAUAAAUGAAUAAAAGCUAGAAGAACUGCAGCUUUUGACGUGCUGGAGCUUGGUUGGAGGAGAUGAAUUUGAGAGACAGCUUGAUAAGGACAAAUCCGCUCCUAAACAAACUCCACAAAAGAGAGAACCCUAUUUACAAAUAAAUGGUGGAUAAUUACAAAUUAAUCAAUUAUGACCCUGAAUUUUAUCCUAAUACAGAUUUUAAUACAACAAUACAGAUUCCUUGCUUCUUAAUCUUGAUCAUCUAGCCUCUUUUCGAUAGCUUAUCUUUGCUAGAGGACUCUUAACAAUGCUUUUUUUGUUCUUAACAGGUGAUUUAAGAGUAAUUACCUUCGAAUCUCUCCUUCCAGAAAUUAUACGGCAGAAAUUAGAAAAUUGUGAAUCAUUAUCUCCUGAGGUAUAUCACCUCUCGACUCUUGAAGGAGAAGCAACCCUUUGUUACUCAAAUGUGCAUAAGGCUAUCCUUUUGUAUUAUCAAUUAUCAUACUUUCUUUUUAAUUAAUGAUGCCUGGAUUAACAGUGUUUUCUUCAGUGAGAUUUUGGAUGCUAUGUUUACUUUCUCAUUCAAUCUUGCAAAGGCCAUCUCCAGCAGAAUGCUAAAUCAACGUUUGUCGUCUGUGAGCUGCUCCAUCCGAAUGCGAAAACCUGCAUCAUUAUCACAACGACGUGAACAAUGUGAGGGCAAUAUUGGCAUUGCAUUGUUCACAAAUGCCCUUUUUUGAUGUUAUGAAAUGGAGUUCGGUUGGUGAUGAAUUAUUGCAUUUUGGAUUGUUACUACAUUUUGGAGUGAAAAAUGAGUUUUUCAGUUGGGGAUGCCCUAAUAGAAUAAAAUUGGCGAUAUUAUUAUCAAGGGGUGUGGUCGCUUUCUAACCCUUCCACUCUAUUGUAAGCUUCUUGCACUGACAUUAUUAAUGGAAUCCCCAAUGUUUUAGAGGUGA
Dendrobium catenatum is the source of this 1797-nucleotide long non-coding RNA. RefSeq lists it as uncharacterized. The record is from RefSeq and is a predicted model, not a curated record. The transcript is spliced from 3 exons. NCBI's taxonomy places the organism in Eukaryota, Viridiplantae, Streptophyta, Magnoliopsida, Asparagales, Orchidaceae.